GACGAACGCUGGCGGCGUGCUUAACACAUGCAAGUCGAACGGUGAAGCGCCUUCCUUUUUGGUGGGUGUGGAUGAGUGGCGAACGGGUGAGUAACACGUGAGUAACCUGCCCCCUUCUUCUGGAUAACCGCAUGAAAGUGUGGCUAAUACGGGAUAUUCUGGGUCUGUCGCAUGAUGGGUCUGGGAAAGAUAUUGUUUCGGUGGGGGAUGGGCUCGCGGCCUAUCAGCUUGUUGGUGGGGUGAUGGCCUACCAAGGCGGUGACGGGUAGCCGGCCUGAGAGGGUGGACGGUCACACUGGGACUGAGACACGGACAAGACUCCUACGGGAGGCAGCAGUGGGGAAUAUUGCACAAUGGGCGCAAGCCUGAUGCAGCGACGCCGCGUGAGGGAUGGAGGCCUUCGGGUUGUGAACCUCUUUCGCCAGUGAAGCAGGCCUGCCUCGUUUGUGGGUGGGUUGACGGUAGCUGGAUAAGAAGCGCCGGCUAACUACGUG
This 494-nucleotide ribosomal RNA is filed under the name uncultured bacterium. Its description in RNAcentral is "partial 16S ribosomal RNA". It matches the Rfam family "Bacterial small subunit ribosomal RNA", at positions 28 to 507 of the family's 1533-position model. The record is from RNAcentral.